RNAcentral lists this ribosomal RNA (494 nucleotides) under Arthrobacter sp. Nj-44. RNAcentral describes it as "bacterial SSU rRNA". It matches the Rfam family "Bacterial small subunit ribosomal RNA", at positions 496 to 987 of the family's 1533-position model. Lineage: Bacteria; Bacillati; Actinomycetota; Actinomycetes; Micrococcales; Micrococcaceae. The record is from RNAcentral.
GCUAACUACGUGCCAGCAGCCGCGGUAAUACGUAGGGCGCAAGCGUUAUCCGGAAUUAUUGGGCGUAAAGAGCUCGUAGGCGGUUUGUCGCGUCUGCCGUGAAAGUCCGGGGCUCAACUCCGGAUCUGCGGUGAGUACGGGCAGACUAGAGCGAUGUAGGGGAGACUGGAAUUCCUGGUGUAGCGGUGAAAUGCGCAGAUAUCAGGAGGAACACCGAUGGCGAAGGCAGGUCUCUGGGCAUUAGCUGACGCUGAGGAGCGAAAGCAUGGGGAGCGAACAGGAUUAGAUACCCUGGUAGUCCAUGCCGCAAACGUUGGGCACUAGGUGUGGGGGACAUUCCACGUUUUCCGCGCCGUAGCUAACGCAUUAAGUGCCCCGCCUGGGGAGUACGGCCGCAAGGCUAAAACUCAAAGGAAUUGACGGGGGCCUGCACAAGCGGCGGAGCAUGCGGAUUAAUUCGAUGCAACGCGAAGAACCUUACCAAGGCUUGACAU